UAGGCUGCAACCCGCCUACCAUGAAGUUGGAAUUGCUAGUAAUCGCAGAUCAGAAUGCUGCGGUGAAUACGUUCCCGGGCCUUGUACACACCGCCCGUCACACCAUGGGAGCCGGUAAUACCCGAAGUCAGUAGUCUAACCGCAAGGGGGACGCUGCCGAAGGUAGGAUUGGCGACUGGGGUGAAGUCGUAACAAGGUAAC
Molecule: ribosomal RNA, 201 nt
Filed under: uncultured bacterium
Lineage: Bacteria
Description: partial 16S ribosomal RNA
Rfam family: Bacterial small subunit ribosomal RNA
Source: RNAcentral